Molecule: long non-coding RNA, 440 nt
Organism: Dromiciops gliroides (monito del monte)
Lineage: Eukaryota; Metazoa; Chordata; Mammalia; Microbiotheria; Microbiotheriidae
Exons: 3
Source: RefSeq, a predicted model, not a curated record
ACAGAUGAGGAAACUGAGGAAAACAGGCUUAAGCAACUUGCCCAGGAUCACAUAGCUGAUCAACAUAGUUGUUCCCAGGAUCUUGAAACUUGGGCCUCUUCUUUGCUGCUUUAGUGGUGCAGGUCCUACUACUUUUCUGGAAUCCUUCAGUGCAAACUAGCAGAAAGCACUGCUCCCUAGAAGACCCAAGAGUUCGAUCUAAGACUACCUGGAAGCCAGGAUUCCAGGUGGGAUGGUGCUGUCAGCCAGCCCAGAAGGGAAACCCUGAGAAGCCAGAGUACCUGAUACUUGAAGCCAAAUGAGGAGUCUUAGACUUGGAACAGGCACUAUGUUCAAUAAGAAUUGAAUUAAACAAUGCAUCUAAUCUUCUUCCCUUCCCAAAACACUUUGGUGGUUUGGCUCAGGGAUGAUUUUUGCUUCCCACACAUUGUGGAAUAUAA